AUUGAACGCUGGCGGCGUGCCUAACACAUGCAAGUCGAGCGGUAACAGGUGUAGCAAUACAUGCUGACGAGCGGCGAACGGGUGAGUAAUGCUUCGGAAUCUACCCAAUGGUGGGGAAUAACCAGCCGAAAGGUUGGCUAAUACCGCAUACGUCCCACGGGAGAAAGCAGGGGAUCGCAAGACCUUGCGCCAAUGGAUGAGCCGAAGUCGGAUUAGCUAGUUGGAGGGUAACGGCCUACCAAGGCGACGAUCCGUAGCUGGUCUGAGAGGACGACCAGCCACACUGGGACUGAGACACGGGCCCAGACUCCUACGGGAGGCAGCAGUGGGGAAUAUUGGACAAUGGGGGAAACCCUGAUCCAGCGACGCCGCGUGUGUGAAGAAGGCCUGCGGGGUUGUAAAGCACUUUUAGUGGGGAUGAAAUGUUCAGGGUUAACACCUCUGGAUUUUGACCUAACCACAGAAAAGCACCGGCUAACUCUGUGCCAGCCGCC
This 494-nucleotide ribosomal RNA is filed under the name uncultured bacterium. RNAcentral's name for it is "bacterial SSU rRNA". It matches the Rfam family "Bacterial small subunit ribosomal RNA", at positions 30 to 516 of the family's 1533-position model. The record is from RNAcentral.